CCUACGGGAGGCAGCAGUGGGGAAUAUUGCACAAUGGGGGAAACCCUGAUGCAGCGACGCCGCGUGAGUGAAGAAGUAAUUCGGUAUGUAAAGCUCUAUCAGCAGGGACGAAAAUGACGGUACCUGAGUAAGAAGCCCCGGCUAACUACGUGCCAGCAGCCGCGGUAAUACGUAGGGUGCAAGCGUUAUCCGGAUUUACUGGGUGUAAAGGGAGAGUAGGCGGCAGUGCAAGUCAGGAGUGAAAGGCGGGGGCUCAACCCCCGGACUGCCCUGGAGACUGUACGGCUGGAGUGCAGGAGAGGUGAGUGGAAUUCCUAGUGUAGCGGUGAAAUGCGUAGAUAUUAGGAGGAACACCAGUGGCGAAGGCGGCUUACUGGACUGUAACUGACGUUGAGGCUCGAAAGCGUGGGGAGCAAACAGGAUUAGAUACCCCUGUAGUC
Molecule: ribosomal RNA, 440 nt
Filed under: uncultured bacterium
Lineage: Bacteria
Description: partial 16S ribosomal RNA
Rfam family: Bacterial small subunit ribosomal RNA
Source: RNAcentral